RNAcentral lists this ribosomal RNA (440 nucleotides) under uncultured bacterium. RNAcentral describes it as "partial 16S ribosomal RNA". It matches the Rfam family "Bacterial small subunit ribosomal RNA", at positions 338 to 795 of the family's 1533-position model. The record is from RNAcentral.
CCUACGGGCGGCAGCAGUAGGGAAUAUUGCUCAAUGGGGGAAACUCUGACGCAGCAACGCCGCGUGGGGGAUGAAGGUUUUCGGAUUGUAAAAUUCUUUAAUUGGAGAAGAUAAUGACGGUAUCUCACGAAUAAGCACCGGCUAACUCCGUGCCAGCAGCAGCGGUAAUACGGAGGGUGCAAGCGUUACUCGGAAUCACUAGGCGUAAAGAGCGCGUAGGCGGGAUAGCAAGUCAGAUGUGAAAUACUAUGGCUUAACCAUAGAACUGCAUUUAAAACUGUUAUUCUAGAGUAUGGGAGAGGUAGGUGGAAUUCUUGGUGUAGGGGUAGAAUGCGUAGAGAUUAAGAGGAAUACUCAUUGCGAAGGCGACCUGCUAGAACAUAACUGACGCUGAUGCGCGAAAGCGUGGGGAGCAAACAGGAUUAGAUACCCCUGUAGUC